Phacochoerus africanus (Common warthog) is the source of this 108-nucleotide long non-coding RNA. RefSeq lists it as uncharacterized. Lineage: Eukaryota; Metazoa; Chordata; Mammalia; Artiodactyla; Suidae. The record is from RefSeq and is a predicted model, not a curated record. The transcript has 2 exons.
CAGCAAAUCCGCACUUGAGCCUUAAUUGGUUCACCCGGAUCACUGACUCCGGCGCAAGGCGGAGAUAUAAUCAUCAUUCCUGAUUGUAUAGACGAGGAGACGGAGAGA